UGGGGAAUAUUGGGCAAUGGGCGCAAGCCUGACCCAGCCAUGCCGCGUGAGUGAUGAAGGCCUUAGGGUUGUAAAGCUCUUUUAGUCGUGAAGAUGAUGACUGUAGCGACAGAAAAAGCCCCGGCUAACUUCGUGCCAGCAGCCGCGGUAAUACGAAGGGGGCUAGCGUUGUUCGGAUUUACUGGGCGUAAAGGGCACGCAGGCGGCCAAACAAGUCAGAGGUGAAAUCCCAGGGCUCAACCCUGGAACUGCCUUUGAAACUGUUUGGCUAGAGACCGAGAGAGGUGAGUGGAAUUCCUAGUGUAGAGGUGAAAUUCGUAGAUAUUAGGAGGAACACCAGUGGCGAAGGCGGCUCACUGGCUCGGUACUGACGCUCAUGUGCGAAAGCGUGGGGAGCAAACAGG
Molecule: ribosomal RNA, 404 nt
Filed under: uncultured bacterium
Lineage: Bacteria
Description: bacterial SSU rRNA
Rfam family: Bacterial small subunit ribosomal RNA
Source: RNAcentral